CGGACGGGUGAGUAAUACAUAGGAAUCUGCCCAGUAGCGGGGGACAACUUGGGGAAACUCAAGCUAAUACCGCAUACGCCCUACGGGGGAAAGCGGGGGACCUUCGGGCCUCGCACUAUUGGAUGAGCCUAUGUCAGAUUAGCUUGUUGGUGGGGUAAUGGCCUACCAAGGCGACGAUCUGUAGCUGGUCUGAGAGGACGAUCAGCCACACUGGGACUGAGACACGGCCCAG
This 232-nucleotide ribosomal RNA is filed under the name uncultured bacterium. RNAcentral's name for it is "partial 16S ribosomal RNA". It matches the Rfam family "Bacterial small subunit ribosomal RNA", at positions 99 to 334 of the family's 1533-position model. The record is from RNAcentral.